GAUGAACGCUGGCGGCGUGCCUAAUACAUGCAAGUCGAGCGAACAGACGAGGAGCUUGCUCCUCUGACGUUAGCGGCGGACGGGUGAGUAACACGUGGAUAACCUACCUAUAAGACUGGGAUAACUGCGGGAAACCGGAGCUAAUACCGGAUAAUAUAUUGAACCGCAUGGUUCAAUAGUGAAAGACGGUUUUGCUGUCACUUAUAGAUGGAUCCGCGCCGCAUUAGCUAGUUGGUAAGGUAACGGCUUACCAAGGCAACGAUGAGUAGCCGACCUGAGAGGGUGAUCGGCCACGCUCGAACUGGGACACGGUCCAGACUCCUACGGGGGGCAGCAGUAGGGAAUCUUCCGCAAUGGGCGAAGGCCUGACGGAGCAACGCCGCGUGAGUGAUGAAGGUCUUCGGAUCGUAAAACUCUGUUAUUAGGGAAGAACAAAUGUGUAAGUAACUAUGCACGUCUUGACGGUACCUAAUCAGAAAGCCGCGGAUAACUGCG
RNAcentral lists this ribosomal RNA (495 nucleotides) under uncultured bacterium. Its description in RNAcentral is "partial 16S ribosomal RNA". It matches the Rfam family "Bacterial small subunit ribosomal RNA", at positions 28 to 505 of the family's 1533-position model. The record is from RNAcentral.